RNAcentral lists this ribosomal RNA (678 nucleotides) under uncultured bacterium. RNAcentral describes it as "bacterial SSU rRNA". It matches the Rfam family "Bacterial small subunit ribosomal RNA", at positions 86 to 756 of the family's 1533-position model. The record is from RNAcentral.
UGCUUGAGAGUGGCGAACGGGUGAGUAAUAUAUCGGAACGUGCCCAGUCGUGGGGGAUAACGUAGAGAAAUUUACGCUAAUACCGCAUACGAUCUAAGGAUGAAAGCGGGGGAUUCUGCAAGGAGCCUCGCGCGAUUGGAGCGGCUGAUAUCAGAUUAGGUUGUUGGUGAGGUAAAAGCUCACCAAGCCGACGAUCUGUAGCUGGUUUGAGAGAACGACCAGCCACACUGGGACUGAGACACGGCCCAGACUCCUACGGGAGGCAGCAGUGGGGAAUUUUGGACAAUGGGCGAAAGCCUGAUCCAGCAAUGCCGCGUGCAGGAAGAAGGCCUUCGGGUUGUAAACUGCUUUUGUACGGAACGAAACGGUCUGCUCUAAUACAGUGGGCUAAUGACGGUACCGUAAGAAUAAGCACCGGCUAACUACGUGCCAGCAGCCGCGGUAAUACGUAGGGUGCGAGCGUUAAUCGGAAUUACUGGGCGUAAAGCGUGCGCAGGCGGUUAUAUAAGACAGUUGUGAAAUCCCCGGGCUCAACCUGGGAAUUGCAUCUGUGACUGUAUAGCCAGAGUACGGUAGAGGGGGAUGGAAUUCCGCGUGUAGCAGUGAAAUGCGUAGAUAUGCGGAGGAACACCGAUGGCGAAGGCAAUCCCCUGGACCUGUACUGACGCUCAUGCACGA